AUGGAGAAGGGGGAAGUAGUACGCCGUACCAAGCUCGGUCCAGCCGCCGGCGGCGGCGGAGGACGAGGAGGAGGAGCACGCCGUCCCAAGAUGGGUCCAGGCGGCGGAGGAGCCGACCUCAUCAGCGCCCUCCCGGAGGAUCUGCUUCUCCAGGUCCUCGGGUGCCUCCGAUGCGCCCGCGCCGCCGCGCGCACCAGCAUCCUCUCCCGCCGGUGGCGCGGCCUCUGGACCCGCCUCCCCGACCUCGUCUUCCGCGGCGUCGCGCUCCGCUCCCUCCAAGCGGCGCUCGCCUCGGUCCAAGCCGCGGCCGGCCCCGUGGGGGUGACCCUCCUCGACAUGUGCGUUCCCGACGCGCUCCUACACUCCGUCCGCGAGUACGACAUGCCCCCGCUGCUCCACGCCGCCGCGGCGCUCUCGCCGGUGGACCUCCGCCUCGCCGUGGGGGAGGGCACGCAGCGCCUGUACGUGCAGGUGGAGGUGCCCCGCCUCCCCCGCGCCAUCUCGGUGGAGCUUCAAGGCCUGGAUCUCGUGUUCGCCGACCCGCGCCGCAGCUGGCUGGGGUUCCCCGCGCUGGAGACGCUCUCCCUCACCGGCUGCCGCGCCAACCUCACGGACCUGGUCCUCCGCUGCCCGCGCCUGCGCGUCUUCAGACUCAGGGAGGACCACGGCGCCCACCACAUGAACAUCAUCAUCAGGUCCUCGUCGCUGCAGGAGCUCCAUGUGGACACCAGGAUCCCCUUCACCUACCGCAUCGACAUCAGGGCGCCCGCGCUCAAGCGAUUGGCCAUGUCCUUCAGCACCAGCGACAAGAUCAUUGUGCUGGUGUCCGUUUUGGCGCCAAUGCUGGAGACGGUCUCAUGGCGCUGCACCUAUUCCACAGUGUCUGCCCGGUUUGGUCUUUGGGGCCUCUCAGAGGUGAGGUUACAGACGGAGGAGAACAAUGGACAUGGCGGGCAGCUUCCUCCUCACGUCAAUGUCCUGUCGCUCUUCGUGGCUGCAGAUGAUUCAUAUGAGUUUCCAGAGGAAGUCAGCCUUAGGACGGAGAUAGAGAAACAUAUGGUUACCCAUUUCUCUGUUUUGGAGCUACGUGUCGAAACGUGGGGGCAUGUUUUUGGAGCAUUUGCAUUGCACAUCCUUGAAAUGGAUCAGAUUUCCACUGCUAUACAAAGCCUUAAAGUCAUCCUGCUGAGUUCAGAGGAUGAUGAAGCAUGCCCACAAAAUUGCCCUUGUGAGGAGCCCAGUAACUGGAGAAGCCAAACUAUCUCCUUGACCAAUCUUGAAAAAGUGGAAAUCAAAGGCUUCCAAGGAGAAGGUCAUGAGUUUGAUUUCUUGAAACUGGUAUUUAGAUGCGCACCAAUGCUGAAAACAAUGUCUGUGAGGCUGUCAGAUGAGGUCACAGCAAGUAACGACGAUUGCUGCAAGAAAAUACAUGACGUCUUCAAGAUGUAUCCUUUUGUGGAAUGCAAUGUGAUUGUGGAUCUUAGUCCUGAGUCAACAGACAGCAGCCAUGGUGGUGCCUCGACAUGA
RNAcentral lists this ribosomal RNA (1527 nucleotides) under Triticum aestivum (bread wheat). RNAcentral's name for it is "partial small subunit ribosomal RNA". The record is from RNAcentral. Lineage: Eukaryota; Viridiplantae; Streptophyta; Magnoliopsida; Poales; Poaceae.